GAUCAACGCUGGCGGCGUGCCUUACGCAUGCAAGUCGAACGGCGCCCUUCGGGGUGCAGUGGCGGACGGGUGAGUAACACGUACGUGACCUACCGCGCAGGGGGGGAGUACCAGUCCGAAAGGGACGUGCUAAUACCGCAUGUGCUCAGCGAGGGGACUUGCUGAGGGAAAGGGACCGCGCAAGCGGUCUCGCUGGGUGGAGGGGCGUGCGGCCGAUUAGCUAGUUGGGUGGGGGUAAGGGCCCACCAAGGCGACGAUCGGUAGCUGAGCUGAGAGGCC
Molecule: ribosomal RNA, 279 nt
Filed under: uncultured bacterium
Lineage: Bacteria
Description: partial 16S ribosomal RNA
Rfam family: Bacterial small subunit ribosomal RNA
Source: RNAcentral